This 301-nucleotide long non-coding RNA is filed under the name Ananas comosus (pineapple). Its description in RNAcentral is "long non-coding RNA (ACOM_LNC030126)". The record is from RNAcentral. Lineage: Eukaryota; Viridiplantae; Streptophyta; Magnoliopsida; Poales; Bromeliaceae.
AAAAAUUAAACUCUUAGCUAUCAAUAAUAUAAGAAAAUUUUUAUACCAAAUAAGUUAUUAUUGACUAUCUCCCUUAAAAUAUGAAUGUUGGAUAAAUCACAUGACUUAUUAAACUGUCUCAACGAGAUCUCAUAAAUAAACUCAUAAAUAUGAAAAUGCGUGAAAUUUGAUUUCUAUGUAGUUUAAAUAGUUUAGAUCAUAUUUAACGGAGCCGAUCGUCAAUUUGGAAGCUUUAUCAUAAAAAACAAAUCGGUAGUAAAACGGCUCGUUUACUCCCGAUAGUAUUCUAGCUCAACUCUAU